ACACAAGUUCGUGAGUUCCGAGGAUUUACGCUGUAGUAGAACUCUUUCCAUUGUCUGUUUGGUACUUUGGUUCACACCCACAUCCAACACACAUGAAUGAGGCAUGCAGAGAGAUAAGGGUUUCUUUGAGGGUGGUUGACCCUCUCUGCUACGCCAUUGAUUUCAUCUCCAAAAGAAUUCAACAGCCCUCUUUCAUGGAAUUGAAGUUGAAGUAUGGAUAAUGCAACAUUAACAUACCCCCAAAUCUCAGGGUUUAGCCCUCAGAUUUCGUGGUUCUGAAGCUGACGCUCUCUUUCUUUCUGAGCUUCUUUACAAUUUCAAUCAAUUUUCCCUGAAACAACAAUAACAACAAUAAUAAUAUCCUUUUCUUUUCUUUUUUUUGGUAAUCCUGAUUCAUGAGGCUGUGAUGAUACUGUUCUCUUUUCAAUCUGAGCGGAUUUAUCGGGCAUGGGCCGAUCCGACCCGUAUCUUGGCGGGGCAAACAUGCUACCCGGCUUCUUUGCAGCCAUGGCGGUGUAGGAAUAACCCUCUGCCCAGCACUAAAUCUGAGCCUCGAUCAUCGUAAGCCCAGUCGGAAUCGAAUCGGCGACAGAGAUGACCCGUAGCUUGGGGGAUUUUGCUGCCAUGGUUGCGUGGUUCAGAUCUGGGCAGUAUUGGUGGAAGUUUUGAUGGAAUACGCCCCCCUAGGGCUGCGAUUAGUUCAACAAGGCUGUGAUGAUGUUUUGAAGUUCAAAUCUGAGCCUCACAGCUGCAGUAGCUAUGCUGAUGAUUGCAUGGAUCGAACCUGGGUCUCUUGGUUUAUAAAACCUGUUCUGAUGUCUUUUUUGGUUGGAUUUUCAGCUGAAAAGAAUGGUAAUUUCAGUGGUAAGUAGCCAUGUCCUCAUGGUCUCGUGUUUUUCAUCAUUACCAUAAAUCAGUAGUCCUCUUUUGUGAUUCCAGAGGAUAAUGUGUAUAUUCAUAUACUUUAAUUUACCAGAAAGUCCACCAGAGUAGAGUACUCUACUCAGGGCUCGUAUUUGGGUAAACAAACCUAGGGCGUUCAUAACUGAUCUUUUCUGUUUAAAAGUCAAACUCUAUAUAUUUACAUGCAUAUAUAUAUAUAGUUAAGUGUUGCUGUGGAGAUAUGCAACUGUGGUUUCUUGAUGGCCAUGGGCCAAUGGUGUGGGGUGCUUAUCAAUUUGUUUGGCAUGCUUGUGAAAUCUCUGUUGUGAGAAUGAGGCAUGCAGAGAGAUAAGGGUUUUUUGGAGGGCGGUUGACCCUCUCUGCUUUGCCAUUGAUUUCAUCUCCAAAAGAAUUCAACAGCCCCCUUUCUUGGAAUUGAAAUGGAUAAUGUUACAUAGUACAUGCCUGAUGCCCUUCCAAAUAUCAGGGUUUAGCCCUCAGAUUUUGUGGUUUUGAAGCUGACGCUCUCAUUCUUUCCGGUCUUUUUACCAUUUCCUCAAUUUCCCCUGAAACAACAAUAAUAAUAUCUGUUUUCUUUUGGUAAUCCUGAUUCAUGAGGCUGUGAUGAUUAUAUUCUCUUUCUCUCUCAGCAAAUUUAUCGGGCAUGGGUUGAUCCGACCCGUAUCUUGGUGGGGCAAACACGCUACCCGGCUUGUUUGCAGCCAUGGCGGUGUAGGAAUAACCCUCUGCCCAGCAGCAAAUCUGAGCCUCACGUAUGAUCAUUGAUGGUUGGUCUAUCGGAAGCCCAGUCUGAAUCAAAUAGGCGACAGAGAUGACCCGUAGCUUGGCGGAUUUUGCAGCCAUGGUUGCGUGGUCAGGUUCUGUGGUUCAGAUCUGGGCAGUAUUGGUGGAAGACGAUGAAAAUCUUGAUGGAAUACACCCCCUAAGGCUGCUUUUAGUUCAACAAGGCUGUGAUGAUAUUUUGAAGCUCGAAUCUGAGCCUUUCAACUGCAGUAGUUCUGCUGAUGAUUCCGUGAAUCGAACUGGGACCUUGUGGUUUAUAAAACCUGUUCCGUUGUCUGUUUUGGCUGGAUUUUCAGCUGAAAAGAAUGGAAACUUCAAUGCUGAGAUUUCUUGAUGGUGUGAGGUGCCUAUCAAUUUGUUUGGCAUCUUGUGAAAUCUCUAUUGUGAGAAUGAUGCUCAAGUUCAGAGAGGCAUGGGAGUUCUUAAGGGUGGUUGCCCCUCUCUGUAAUAUAGCCACUGAUUUCAUCACUAUCAGCAAAUCUCAAAACCGCCCUUGUAAGUGUGAAUUUAUGUACGCAGAUAGAUGUUGAGCAUAUAAUAUAAACUAUAAACAUGUUGUCUGCCUAUUAGCUUAAACUUUAGCCGAGACAGAACAUAUCUUCAUUCUUCGAUUAUAUACAUAUACUGAUUUGAACUAAGCGCCCCCUUAAUUGUGUGCUUCCGGUAGAAAAUAGUUGCAUCUCCUUCACUAGUCUUAAUUCGUUUGCCACUGAAAAGGGGAGAAAGAAACUUGCAAUACUGAAGAGGCUGUGACGAUAUCUUUUUUAGCAAUGAUAAUUGUUGGAAAAAAGACUUUGGGCUAUUCUAAUAGCUUGGCUUGGCAACUCAGAAGGUCUGAGUGAUGGAGGAAGAGUAAAAGUUGAGCCUAAGCGUUUCUUCUUAAAUUCUUUCUCCAUUUUUCUUUAGGCAACUGUUGUUAGCAGCCUGGCAGUUUAGCUUGCUUUCUUGAUUAUAUAGGCGAAAAUCUGAGCCUCCUUCUAUAAAGCAAAUACAUUCUGUGUUUCCACAAUGACAAUAGGAUCUUUUGUUGUGGUAGUAUUUCUUUGGAUACUUCUAUCAUGUAAAAUUUAGGAUUGAAGUGAACUGAAUAUUGAUCAAGUACUUGAGUUGGUAUUGACAGAUUGCGUAUAGACCCUAAUGAAUCCAAAAAAAUCUCAUUUUCAACUUUUUAUUGCUUCUCCCGAGGUCACGUUGCACGCCAUAAACCCAAAAAGGAGAAAACAAAGAGCUACAGCAAGAUCUUUACAGGAUUCAAGACAGUGUUCAAUAUCGAGGCUUCUUUGUUUAUGCAGGCUGCUUAAACUCGACCCUUGCAGUCUUCCUGGAGUCAAAAGUCAAAACUCAUUACUUGGGUUGUGCUUCCAACACUUGAACACACACUUGACUAUGUGCACUCUAACCAAUAUAUUCACUUCAAGUUGAAGAUGUGAUGUUUGAAGGGCAAAAUGGGAAUCUGAAGAUCAUGAAAUGAAGAGCAAGCAGACACGUGCAAGUGGAUGUAGGGUCAGCUCAGAGAACAAUGCACACUUAACACAAUUACCCAACACCCCUUGUAGAGCUUUGGAAUUUCAUUUUGGUCCCUAUUGUAUUGUUUCGUUUUAUAUAAUUUUUUAACUUUGUUGUUACUAUUUUUCUAUGUAUCCAAAAAAAAAAGCAAAUAAACAUUUAUCAAA
This is an RNA transcript of Ipomoea triloba (trilobed morning glory), 3359 nucleotides long. RefSeq lists it as uncharacterized. NCBI's taxonomy places the organism in Eukaryota, Viridiplantae, Streptophyta, Magnoliopsida, Solanales, Convolvulaceae. The transcript has 4 exons. The record is from RefSeq and is a predicted model, not a curated record.